UUUUUUUUUCUUUUUUUUUCAAUAUAAUAAAAAAAGUUAUAUGACUUUAAUUAAAUGCACUUAUUAAAAGGGUGAAAUAUUUGGAGAGGCUGUUUUUGUGCUGGAGGCACAUUUUCCAGCGCGCUGUAGAGCGUCUGCAUCCGUCCGCUCUAGGCAAUUUUUAAUACACAAAUAAAUCCGCACCUGACGUGCUGACAGAUUAUUAUGCAGUGUGGCAGCCAACAAAAGUAAACACAGGGGCAAGUUUUAACCUCUUGCAGUCCUGGAGCUUUCCCUGCUGGGCCCGGCUCAGGUGUACAGGGCUGCUGGCAAAGCCUUCCCUUCCAGGGAGCCAUCUUCCUGUCCUGUCCCUGGAAACAGGGGGCUCCUCUCCCAUCAGGCUGCCCGGAGUGAGGCAUAUGCCAGGGGACAGGAGACACGACCGAGAGGAAGGCUGGCAACACGCGGUGCUCCUCAAGCGCCCUGCCUUCCUUCCAUCCUGUUUAUCCCAGGGCCAUGAGAUCUGCCAGCUUCGGCACAGCAGGCUGGUCAGCAAGCUGCCAGGACAGAGGCCAUUUCUCCUUCCAGCCGGCGGAGCUGGCGCUGCAGAUGGAGAACCCAGCUGGGUGUUUCUCCCAGCUCUGCCCAGAGUGCAAGUGUCAGGACGGUUACUACAGAGCUAAGGGGGCAUCAGGCAGUUUCCAUACAUGGGACCUUACAUGAUGGAGGUGCAAAGGAGCACAGGGGUACGGCAUUUACUGACACGCAUCGACAGAACUGCCCGUCUCCUGUUGCUCUGGUGAGAUGGAGCUUGCAGAGGGAUCCUCCUGGAAAGGCACCCUUUGCAGCCAUCAGAGAUUUCAGUGGCACCUGCCUGGCGUGGCUCCGUGGGCACACUCCUUGUGCCAUCCAUCUUUGAGCUGCUUUGUUCUGACCGGAGCGUUAGGAACAAACACCAGGUUUCCUCAUCGGUAUAACGGAUCUUUGGCUGGGGAGUUGUGGGGGGGCCAAGAGAGGAAGAUUCUUAGGGCAAAGGGGCGGGGGUUCUCCCAGUGGGUCAUUCACCCAUCUAUUACCCUAGUACCUGAGAGGAGAGCACAUAUUCUGCAUCCGUAAACAGCCAGAACAACAAGAGCCAUUGUUAUUAUCCUUUACUGGCUGUUUACAACAAACCCUUCACAGCGCUAAGUGCUUUCAUACGUUAUCUCCAAAUACAUUUUAUCUCCAGACUCUCCAGGGUACAGCUCAUUAACCCAUUCGUUUUUACUACCAAUUUAACAGCUACUCAUGCUUCACCCGCAAUGUUAUUACGCUCAGUGUACGGCUCAGGAAAUUGAUGCUUAGUAAGUGUAGGUGAUUUUGCCUAAGAAAGUCGUAAGAAAAACACCCAAGUACAGAGAAGCAAUCACAUCAACCUGAAACAACACCCAGCCAGACAUAUUCCCAGUUAUGGCCUCAGAAGAAAUAGCCUUUUUUUUUUUUUUUUUUCGCUAUGGAUAAGAAUGAGGAUACACAAAUUGAUUUUUUAAACAAGAAGAAAAUGUGGGCACAAUGAAAUGUCACCAAAUAAACAAAGAAAAUUCCUGCAGUGGGUGGAAGGCUGAACCAGGUGCCCUUCAAGUAUCCUGCCAACAUAUCUCUUUGCAGAGCUGACUGUUCUGACUCUGGGACCCGCCCGAGCCCUAGGAUUUCCGGGAGAAGCUUUGCUUCAAGAUUCCUAGUUAGUAUCUUCACUUCCAUCCUGCCUCUUCAAGGCACUGGGACUGAAUGUCCCCUUCCAUGCCACCUGGGAACUUUUGGGUUGUGACAAGAAAGAAAAGAUUUCUCUUUGUGAAAUCCAGCAAGAUCUGGUCCAGCAAGAUGCACACAGUCACACUGAAAGCGCUCGCCACUGGCAGCUAAGAGAUCCAGCUGGCCAUUAUCCAGCAGGCCAUCUUGCCUAUAGACAUUUGUCAAUCUCCUGAGCUUGGGGAAUGCCCCGGGAGCCUGACACCUGCUACUGAAGCUGAAAAUGCCUAGUCCUUCUUUCCCCGGCCUCCCUCACGUGUAGGGCAAGACCAAUGAGCUGAGGUUCCCCUCAUCAGUCCCACCCAUGCCUGACUUUGAGCCUGAGGCAGUAAUACAAAGUAGCACAAAUCCUGAGAAACCUACUCCAGAGAGGAUGGGUAAGAGCAGCAGCAGGAGUGAUGAUGGGCUCGGAGAGGCAGUGGUUCUGUUGCAGCCUCCUGACCCAGCAUCAGUGGUGUAGGCGAUGAUGGACAUGCCCAGUGGUUAGAAGCAAUGUCAUCAGACCACUUCAGCAGCAUCUGCGACAUGUUCCUGGAUGCGGAGCCUCCAAACCUAGUUUCCCCCUCCUCAUAGAGAUGCUGAGCUAAUGCAUUCUGCUUAUUUUUUUUUUAGGGCCACACCUACGGCAUAUGAAAGUUCCCAGGCUGGGGGUCAAAUCAGAGCUACAGCUGCCAGCCUACACCACAGCCACAGCAACGUGGGAUCUGAGCCUCCUCUGCAACCUACACCACAGCUCACAGCAACACCGGAUCCUUAAUCCACUGAGUGAGGCCAGGGAUUGAGUACCCAUCCUCAUGGAUCCUAGUGACGUGCGGUGGGCUGAGCCACAAUGGGAACUCCUCAAUCUAUUCCUAAAAAAUAUUUUUUCACCUUAGCCAGGGGUGAUUUCUGUUGCUUGCAAACAAGACCUCUGAUGGAUAUAAGAUUCUGUACAAAAAUCCUGCACUGGUACUCGGAAAUUAUAAUACUGCAUCUCUUGGGUUGGGUUUUAUGUGUUUUUGCCUUUAUAAAUUUUAACUUUGUGUUGCAAUCAAAAAUAUACAAAAGAAAAAUGCACAUUUCAUGACAGUACAGCUCAUUGAAUUUUCACAAACAUACCCAUGUAACCACUACUUCACAUCAAGAAACAAGAUCAUCAUUACCAUGACUCCCCAAAGCCAUUCUUAUCACCACCAUCAACCGAGGACAACCAGUAUCCUGACUUCUAACACCACAGGUUAGCACUGCCUGUUUCUGUAAAUACACAGAUGCAGUGCAUCGUCUUUCUCUGGUCUGUGCAUUACCUCUGUUUAUCUUUUAUUCAACAUUAUGCUCUGAAGAUUCAUCUGUACUCUCUGCAGCUGUUGCUCAUCUAUUUUGAGGGCUGUAUAGUAUUCCAGUGGAUGAAUAUAUCACAUAUAUCACAUAUAUAUCACAUAGUCAUUGUGAGUAUUCCAUUGAUUUAUUCAUUCCAUUGCUGCCAAGCACUUGGGUGCUUUCUAAUUUGGGGCUAUUUCAAAAAGGCCUUCUGUGAGCAUUCUAGUACACAUCUUUUGGUGAAAUGUGAACAGACUUUUGUUGCAUAGCUAGCCAUGUUCAUAAUGCACAUAUACAUUCAACUUUAGUAGCUGCUGCUCAACAAUUUUCCCAAAUGGUCAUAUCCAUUAGAAUGAUUUUUAAUUUAAUUUCCAGAACAAUU
RNAcentral lists this long non-coding RNA (3445 nucleotides) under Sus scrofa (pig). Its description in RNAcentral is "lncRNA (ENSSSCG00015078901.1)". Lineage: Eukaryota; Metazoa; Chordata; Mammalia; Artiodactyla; Suidae. The record is from RNAcentral.